Cucurbita pepo subsp. pepo (vegetable marrow) is the source of this 1901-nucleotide long non-coding RNA. RefSeq lists it as uncharacterized. The record is from RefSeq and is a predicted model, not a curated record. Lineage: Eukaryota; Viridiplantae; Streptophyta; Magnoliopsida; Cucurbitales; Cucurbitaceae.
UUAUUGAGCCAUCCGAGAGGUCCUUCCCGGUUUUUUCUUCGUUGGGAGCAAGUGCUAACAUCGGAUGUUAGCUUGUUUUUUCUGAAUCUUCGACUCGUCAAAUUGUGUUACAGAUCGAGCACUCCUCUAUUAUCGUUUGCUUGUAGAAAUCUGGAAUGAUACGGAGACGGAGCGAAGGAAAAAGUUGUUGGAGCUGCGUGGAAUUGAUCCUGAUGAGUUUUUGCUGAACCUUCUACUAAUGUUGGCUCUCUCUCUCUCUCUCUCUGAUGGUUGUUUUAUUUCAUUUCCUUUCAAACAUCAAACAUGAAUAGUUUGUAUUAUUCUUGCCUGUUUGAAUUGUGCAAUUUCGUCAUCUUGGCUAUGGUAUUGAGCGUUUGGAUAUUUGGUAUAAUGCUUAAUUUUCUUCGUUCGAGUUGCUCUUUUAAUCUCUCUGAUCGUUAAGUUUCCUUGAAGUGCGAAAUCGGUAUAAGGCAAGCAUAUUCCAGCUGAGAAUCUUAAACCUCAACGGCAGACACAUAAGACUACGUACUGGCGGUUUGGUCGGACACUUGGCAAUUUAUGGACCCAAGUGGGCUGAUAAGGAAAAAGAAAAGAAAAGGUUAAAACGACUUGAUGAAGUUUCUGUAGCCGCCGAUUGAAAUUAGCUUGUGACAUUGUUCGGCAACAGUUGCUACAAGCCUAAGUUCAAGUGGUCCGAGUGUAUUUUAAACAGCUGCAUGCUUUUCCAUCAAAGAAUUUAAAAGUGCUGCAUGCUUUGAAGCAUUGGCCAUCGUUCCAUUCUGUUGGUUAUUGGGCAUUGCAGUAUCCAGAUGUUGAUACUACUUUUCUUGAUUGUAUUGGCAUCUUGGAAGUACAGGGUUCCUAACUGUUGCAGGUCAAGGGUGAAUCUACAGCCACCUGCGCUUUGUCUAGUUCUAGAAUAUAUAUCCAAGCUUCAUGAUGGUUGCAGUUCAACAGAGAAGCCAAGCUGACUGAGACGGACAUCAUGGAAAAAUACAGUCUUGUAAAGGGGAAAAUGGAAGGGAUGGCGGAUAAACCGUGCUGCUAUCUCAUCUAUGAUAGAGGAAAAACAUUGGGAAUUGAUGAAGGAAGCUGUUAGGAUCAACAAGUCCUACGCCAACCUGCUUACUUCGGACAGAAUUCCAAAUGUGAAAGUUCUACUGUCAUAAUUAAAUUGGAUCUAAACAUGUGUAUAUGCAUGCGUAUGUAAUACUCAAUAUGGCAUGCCGAGGGAAAGAAGAUAUUUGAGAACAUGUCAAUACUUUAUUCGCUUAUAGUCUUCGACUUUUCAUUAUCCUUUAGUUUUGUUCUUCAUUUUUUGGGAUCCAGUAACAGUUCCACUGUAUUUUCUUUGAUCAUAUUUUCUUCUUUUUCAGUUUGCCACUUGCUAGUAGGACCACUGAGUAAAAUUUUCCAGGAUUCUAAGAUGGAGUCGGUGGAUUGGGAAGCCCUAAUAUUCACAUCCAUGAACGUGGGAGAGAGUCCUAAACAUGCUCGGACCUCGUUUGCUCACAUGAAUGCAGAAUCAAUUUACAGUAAUCAGAAUUCUUGUAACCAGACAUGCGAAGCUGCCUGCCUCAUGAAAUUACAAAGAAAAUGGUUCUUAAGGGCAUCAAUCUACUUUGGUAUUAGAUACUUGUUUCUUAGUUGAAUUGCUCUGAUUUGCCUUCAGAAUUGAUUUGAGCCAGAUUAGUUCAUUGUGUACUGUGGGCUUGCGACAGCAGCGCAUCUAAACAGAUGGUAGUAUUCAUUUUUCAUUGUUCUCUGAUAGCAAUUGCUUGUAUGUUGUUUUCCAAAACAAGGUUUAAAAUCAAGGGUUUCCUUGCAAUAAUUGGGCGCUGAUCAACUACCAGACACUCAAAACCAACUGCCUCAAUUUCUUCAGGAGGGAUUGAUAAUGC